Molecule: non-coding RNA, 140 nt
Filed under: Salmo salar (Atlantic salmon)
Lineage: Eukaryota; Metazoa; Chordata; Actinopteri; Salmoniformes; Salmonidae
Description: Eukaryotic large subunit ribosomal RNA
Rfam family: Eukaryotic large subunit ribosomal RNA
Source: Rfam by way of RNAcentral
UUUUCCCCAGGAUAGCUGGCGCUCGAAGUCUCGCAGAUUCAUCUGGUAAAGCGAAUGAUUAGAGGUCUUGGGGCCGAAACGAUCUCAACCUAUUCUCAAUCUUUAAAUGGAUAAGGUGCCCGGGCGUGGAAUGCGAGCCA